RNAcentral lists this ribosomal RNA (497 nucleotides) under uncultured bacterium. RNAcentral's name for it is "partial 16S ribosomal RNA". It matches the Rfam family "Bacterial small subunit ribosomal RNA", at positions 28 to 507 of the family's 1533-position model. The record is from RNAcentral.
GAUGAACGCUGGCGGCGUGCCUAAUACAUGCAAGUCGAGCGAACAGACGAGGAGCUUGCUCCUCUGAUGUUAGCGGCGGACGGGUGAGUAACACGUGGAUAACCUACCUAUAAGACUGGGAUAACUUCGGGAAACCGGAGCUAAUACCGGAUAACAUGUUGAACCGCAUGGUUCAACAGUGAAAGACGGUCUUGCUGUCACUUAUAGAUGGAUCCGCGCCGCAUUAGCUAGUUGGUAAGGUAACGGGUUACCAAGGCAACGAUGCGUAGCCGACCUGAGAGGGUGAUCGGCCACACUGGAACUGAGACACGGUCCAGACUCCUACGGGAGGCAGCAGUAGGGAAUCUUCCGCAAUGGGCGAAAGCCUGACGGAGCAACGCCGCGUGAGUGAAGAAGGUCUUCGGAUCGUAAAACUCUGUUAUUAGGGAAGAACAAAUGUGUAAGUAACUAUGCACGUCUUGACGGUACCUAAUCAGAAAGCCACGGCUAACUACGUG